UACGUAGGGUGCGAGCGUUGUCCGGAAUUAUUGGGCGUAAAGAGCUCGUAGGCGGUGUGUCGCGUCGGCCGUGAAAACCUGCAGCUUAACUGUGGGCUUGCGGUCGAUACGGGCAUCACUGGAGUUCGGCAGGGGAGACUGGAAUUCCUGGUGUAGCGGUGAAAUGCGCAGAUAUCAGGAGGACCACCGGUGGCGAAGGCGGGUCUCUGGGCCGAUACUGACGCUGAGGAGCGAAAGCGUGGGGAGCGAACAGG
This 254-nucleotide ribosomal RNA is filed under the name uncultured bacterium. Its description in RNAcentral is "partial 16S ribosomal RNA". It matches the Rfam family "Bacterial small subunit ribosomal RNA", at positions 524 to 776 of the family's 1533-position model. The record is from RNAcentral.